RNAcentral lists this ribosomal RNA (253 nucleotides) under uncultured bacterium. RNAcentral's name for it is "partial 16S ribosomal RNA". It matches the Rfam family "Bacterial small subunit ribosomal RNA", at positions 524 to 776 of the family's 1533-position model. The record is from RNAcentral.
UACGUAGGGCGCAAGCGUUAUCCGGAAUUAUUGGGCGUAAAGAGCUCGUAGGCGGUUUGUCGCGUCUGCCGUGAAAGUCCGGGGCUCAACUCCGGAUCUGCGGUGGGUACGGGCAGACUAGAGUGAUGUAGGGGAGACUGGAAUUCCUGGUGUAGCGGUGAAAUGCGCAGAUAUCAGGAGGAACACCGGUGGCGAAGGCGGGGUCCUGGGCCAGUACUGACGCUGAGGAGCGAAAGCGUGGGGAGCAAACAGG